This is a long non-coding RNA of Ictalurus punctatus (channel catfish), 477 nucleotides long. NCBI's taxonomy places the organism in Eukaryota, Metazoa, Chordata, Actinopteri, Siluriformes, Ictaluridae. The record is from Ensembl.
GUCAAAGAGGUGACCUCCCACACCAAGUUCCUGUCCAAGAUCGAGAAGACGACCCCUCAAGCCAAGUUCUUGUCCAAGGUCGAAGAGAUGACCUCUCAAGCCAAGUUCCUUUCCAAGGUUGAAGAGACGACCUCCCAAGCCAAGUUCCUGUCUGAGGUCGAAGAGACGGCCUCCCUGGCCAAGUUCCUGUCUGAGGUUGAAGAGACGGCCUCCCUGGCCAAGUUCCUGUCUGAGGUCGAAGAGAUGACCUCUCAAGCCAAGUUCCUUUCCAAGGUUGAAGAGACGACCUCCCAAGCCAAGUUCCUGUCUGAGCUCGAGGAGAUGACCUCUCAAGCCAAGUUCCUGUCAGAGGUCAAAGAGACGACCUCUCAAGCCAAGUUCCUGUCCGAGGUCAAAGACACGACCUCUCAAGCCAAGUUCAUGUCCGAGCUCGAAAAGAGGGCCUCUCAAGCCAAGUUCCUGUCCGAGGUCGAAAAG